UGAGAUUCUGGAACCAUCCAUUCCAGCU
Molecule: unclassified non-coding RNA, 28 nt
Filed under: Mus musculus (house mouse)
Lineage: Eukaryota; Metazoa; Chordata; Mammalia; Rodentia; Muridae
Description: oocyte_clustered_small_RNA8387
Source: RNAcentral